AGUGAACGCUGGCGGUAGGCCUAACACAUGCAAGUCGAACGGCAGCACAGAGGAGCUUGCUCCUUGGGUGGCGAGUGGCGGACGGGUGAGGAAUACAUCGGAAUCUACUCUGUCGUGGGGGAUAACGUAGGGAAACUUACGCUAAUACCGCAUACGACCUACGGGUGAAAGCAGGGGAUCUUCGGAACUUGCGCGAUUGAAUGAGCCGAUGUCUGAUUAGCUAGUUGGCGGGGUAAAGGCCCACAAAGGCGACGAUUCGUAGCUGGUCUGAGAGGAUGAUCAGCCACACUGGAACUGAGACACGGUCCAGACUCCUACGGGAGGCAGCAGUGGGGAAUAUUGGACAAUGGGCGCAAGCCUGAUCCAGCCAUACCGCGUGGGUGAAGAAGGCCUUCGGGUUGUAAAGCCCUUUUGUUGGGAAAGAAAUCCAUCUGGUUAAUACCCGGGUGGGAUGACGGUACCCAAAGAAUAAGCACCGGCUAACUUCGUGCCAGCCGCCGCAGUAA
This 506-nucleotide ribosomal RNA is filed under the name uncultured bacterium. Its description in RNAcentral is "partial 16S ribosomal RNA". It matches the Rfam family "Bacterial small subunit ribosomal RNA", at positions 29 to 523 of the family's 1533-position model. The record is from RNAcentral.